RNAcentral lists this non-coding RNA (29 nucleotides) under Mus musculus (house mouse). The record is from RNAcentral. Lineage: Eukaryota; Metazoa; Chordata; Mammalia; Rodentia; Muridae.
UGACCGCGACCUCAGAUCAGACGUGGCGU